GCGCAAUAAUACAUGCAAGUCGAACGAGAAUGUGUAGCAAUACACAUGUAAAGUGGCGAACGGGUGGGGAAUACAUAGGUAACCUACCCUCGAGUGGGGAAUAACUAGCCGAAAGGUUAGCUAAUACCGCGUACGCUCCCCGGACUACGGUUCGGGGAGGAAAGCGAUACCGUGGGUAUCGCGCUCUUGGAUGGGCUUAUGUCCUAUCAGCUUGUUGGUGAGGUAAUGGCUCACCAAGGCUUCGACGGGUAGCUGGUCUGAGAGGACGAUCAGCCACACUGGCACUGCGACACGGGCCAG
This 300-nucleotide ribosomal RNA is filed under the name uncultured bacterium. Its description in RNAcentral is "bacterial SSU rRNA". It matches the Rfam family "Bacterial small subunit ribosomal RNA", at positions 49 to 334 of the family's 1533-position model. The record is from RNAcentral.